GUGCCAGCAGCCGCGGUAAUACGGAGGGUGCAAGCGUUAUCCGGAUUCACUGGGUUUAAAGGGUGCGUAGGUGGGUUGGUAAGUCCGUGGUGAAAUCCCCAAGCUUAACUUGGGAACUGCCGUGGAUACUAUCAAUCUUGAAUAUCGUUGAGGUAAGCGGAAUAUGUCAUGUAGCGGUGAAAUGCUUAGAUAUGACAUAGAACACCGAUAGCGGAGGCAGCUUACUAAGCGAUCAUUGACACUGAGGCACGAAAGCGUGGGGAGCAAACAGGAUUAGAUACCCUCGUAGUCC
This 292-nucleotide ribosomal RNA is filed under the name uncultured bacterium. RNAcentral's name for it is "partial 16S ribosomal RNA". It matches the Rfam family "Bacterial small subunit ribosomal RNA", at positions 505 to 796 of the family's 1533-position model. The record is from RNAcentral.